AUAAAAUGGAAAAUAAAAGAGUUUUAAAAAGUGGGGACAGUGUAGAAGCCUCAGUGACAGAAAGAAGUGAGUAAUGAUGGCAAAUCCAAUGACCUACUUGGUGACGGAAAAGAGACGGGAGCUGCAAGACAUGGGGCACCCAUGGCCAGAGUCUCAGAUGGCUGCCUGACUAGAAUGUCAAGGAGGGGACAUCACGGGAAAAUGAGAGGAAGAUGACAAAAAUGCUGAAGCAGGGGUAUAAUGGGAAGAUUUCAACUUAAGCUUUGAUUGGAUGGCUAAAAACAAAU
RNAcentral lists this long non-coding RNA (287 nucleotides) under Mus spicilegus (steppe mouse). RNAcentral describes it as "lncRNA (ENSMSIG00000003701.1)". The record is from RNAcentral. Lineage: Eukaryota; Metazoa; Chordata; Mammalia; Rodentia; Muridae.